GACGAACGCUGGCGGCGCGCCUAACACAUGCAAGUCGAACGGAGAUUAUCCACUUGAAGUUUUUCGGACGGACGGAGGAUAAGCUUAGUGGCGAACGGGUGAGUAACGCGUGAGGAACCUGCCUUAAAGAGGGGGACAACAGUUGGGAAACGACUGCUAAUACCGCAUAAGCCCACACUGCCGCAUGGCAGAGUGAGAAAAGGAGUAAUCCGCUUUGAGAUGGCCUCGCGUCCGAUUAGCUAGUUGGUGAGGUAACGGCCCACCAAGGCGACGAUCGGUAGCCGGACUGACGAGGUUGAUCGGCCACAUUGGGACUGAGACACGGCCCAG
This 330-nucleotide ribosomal RNA is filed under the name uncultured bacterium. RNAcentral's name for it is "bacterial SSU rRNA". It matches the Rfam family "Bacterial small subunit ribosomal RNA", at positions 28 to 334 of the family's 1533-position model. The record is from RNAcentral.